This 422-nucleotide ribosomal RNA is filed under the name uncultured bacterium. RNAcentral describes it as "bacterial SSU rRNA". It matches the Rfam family "Bacterial small subunit ribosomal RNA", at positions 355 to 774 of the family's 1533-position model. The record is from RNAcentral.
UGAGGAAUAUUGGGCAAUGCCCGCAAGGGUGACCCAGCAACGCCGCGUGGAGGAUGAAUGUCGUAAGAUUGUAAACUCCUGUUAGAGGGGAAGAAUAGUACCGGUUGGACCGGUAUAUGACUGUACCCUCAGAGAAAGCCCCGGCUAACUACGUGCCAGCAGCCGCGGUAAUACGUAGGAGGCGAGCGUUAUCCGGAUUUACUGGGCGUAAAGCGCGUGCAGGCGGAUUGGAGAGUUGGAUGUGAAAGCUCCCGGCUUAACUGGGAGAGGUCGUUCAAUACUUCCAGUCUUGAGUGCAGUAGAGGGAAGUGGAAUUCCGGGUGUAGUGGUGAAAUGCGUAGAUAUCCGGAGGAACACCAGUGGCGAAAGCGGCUUCCUGGACUGUAACUGACGCUCAGACGCGAAAGCUAGGGUAGCAAACG